RNAcentral lists this ribosomal RNA (1428 nucleotides) under uncultured bacterium. RNAcentral's name for it is "bacterial SSU rRNA". It matches the Rfam family "Bacterial small subunit ribosomal RNA". The record is from RNAcentral.
CACAUGCAAGUCGAACGGUAGCACAGAGGAGCUUGCUCCUUGGGUGACGAGUGGCGGACGGGUGAGUAAUGUCUGGGAAACUGCCCGAUGGAGGGGGAUAACUACUGGAAACGGUAGCUAAUACCGCAUAACGUCGCAAGACCAAAGAGGGGGACCUUCGGGCCUCUUGCCAUCGGAUGUGCCCAGAUGGGAUUAGCUAGUAGGUGGGGUAACGGCUCACCUAGGCGACGAUCCCUAGCUGGUCUGAGAGGAUGACCAGCCACACUGGAACUGAGACACGGUCCAGACUCCUACGGGAGGCAGCAGUGGGGAAUAUUGCACAAUGGGCGCAAGCCUGAUGCAGCCAUGCCGCGUGUAUGAAGAAGGCCUUCGGGUUGUAAAGUACUUUCAGCGAGGAGGAAGGUGUUGAGGUUAAUAACCUCAGCAAUUGACGUUACUCGCAGAAGAAGCACCGGCUAACUCCGUGCCAGCAGCCGCGGUAAUACGGAGGGUGCAAGCGUUAAUCGGAAUUACUGGGCGUAAAGCGCACGCAGGCGGUCUGUCAAGUCGGAUGUGAAAUCCCCGGGCUCAACCUGGGAACUGCAUCCGAAACUGGCAGGCUAGAGUCUUGUAGAGGGGGGUAGAAUUCCAGGUGUAGCGGUGAAAUGCGUAGAGAUCUGGAGAAAUACCGGUGGCGAAGGCGGCCCCCUGGACAAAGACUGACGCUCAGGUGCGAAAGCGUGGGGAGCAAACAGAAUUAGAUACCCUGGUAGUCCACGCCGUAAACGAUGUCGACUUGGAGGUUGUGCCCUUGAGGCGUGGCUUCCGGAGCUAACGCGUUAAGUCGACCGCCUGGGGAGUACGGCCGCAAGGUUAAAACUCAAAUGAAUUGACGGGGGCCCGCACAAGCGGUGGAGCAUGUGGUUUAAUUUGAUGCAACGCGAAGAACCUUACCUACUCUUGACAUCCAGAGAACUUAGCAGAGAUGCUUUGGUGCCUUCGGGAACUCUGAGACAGGUGCUGCAUGGCUGUCGUCAGCUCGUGUUGUGAAAUGUUGGGUUAAGUCCCGCAACGAGCGCAACCCUUAUCCUUUGUUGCCAGCGAUUCGGUCGGGAACUCAAAGGAGACUGCCAGUGAUAAACUGGAGGAAGGUGGGGAUGACGUCAAGUCAUCAUGGCCCUUACGAGUAGGGCUACACACGUGCUACAAUGGCAUAUACAAAGAGAAGCGACCUCGCGAGAGCAAGCGGACCUCAUAAAGUAUGUCGUAGUCCGGAUUGGAGUCUGCAACUCGACUCCAUGAAGUCGGAAUCGCUAGUAAUCGUGGAUCAGAAUGCCACGGUGAAUACGUUCCCGGGCCUUGUACACACCGCCCGUCACACCAUGGGAGUGGGUUGCAAAAGAAGUAGGUAGCUUAACCUUCGGGAGGGCGCUUACCACUUUGUGAUUC